Molecule: non-coding RNA, 228 nt
Organism: Pelobates cultripes (western spadefoot toad)
Lineage: Eukaryota; Metazoa; Chordata; Amphibia; Anura; Pelobatidae
Source: the annotation of a GenBank genome assembly
ACUCCUAUUGCACAUACUCCCAUCUUUUUUAAAGUGCUCAGCCACUCUAUAACUGAGACCUCAGACACUUACACUGUGGCUAGUUGAAAAGUCAUGAAGCUUCAAACUGCAGGACUAGGGCUGUAACUCUGAGGACUGAUCUGAUUUGGAUUUCAAUAUGUAAUGAAUGUUGCUUCUGUUAACCAUGUCAGCUACUUAUUGGCUCUACAUUACCACAGCAGAUUAAUU